RNAcentral lists this unclassified non-coding RNA (344 nucleotides) under uncultured Spizellomycetales. RNAcentral's name for it is "sequence contains 5.8S rRNA gene, ITS2, 28S rRNA gene". Lineage: Eukaryota; Fungi; Chytridiomycota; Chytridiomycetes; Spizellomycetales. The record is from RNAcentral.
AACGCACAUUGCGCUCCCUGGUAUUCCGGGGAGCAUGCCCGUUUCAGAAUCAUUGGGAAGUUUCAAGCAUUUGGAUGCUUUUUGCGAAGCGUUCGAAUAGCGUGGAUUUGGAAGUUUGCGAUUGCAAUCGUCCGAAAGACAUUGCGUGCGUGACCAACAGCUUUCUGUCUCUUGGCUUGCUGAGUGCAACAGACUUAAUUCUUUUUCACUCGCGACGAUCUUGAGAUGGGCGUUGGUCUUCGCAUGCGGUCACCCCGACCAAAACACGCAGUGGUCAAAUCAGGAAUGAUUUUGGCUUCUGGCAACUUGAUCUGAAAUCGGGCAAGAGAACCCGCUGAACUUAA